UUUUUGUGUUUAUUCCCUUGUAGGGAACGACUGCUCGUACUGUAGUCCGCAAACACAAUCAGAUUCAUUAACAUCUAAACAACAUCUCAAACAAGAACAACAACCAAUAGUACAGGAGUCCAGUGCAUGUGUUUAAGCUGAGUCACCCAGGAUAAGGACAUAUUGAGUAUGAUGCUCAUGAAGGGCCCUGAUGUUUAUGGCUGACAACUCCAAUUUAUGUUGCUCCCUUCACAAGCCCCCAACCACAUGUGGCACUCCUAAAGAUGAGAGGGAAGGAGUCGGGAAGAGAGGAAUGCAGUGAAGUGAUUCUCUUUUUUAUGGCCAUCUGUUGGACAUGCUCACUGGUAUGAAGGUGAUCCUCAGUAGAUAUUACUCCAGACAUUAGCUAAUAUGACUGAUCUUGGACCUGUUUGACCAUAAACGGCAGUCCUGUCAGGAUGACUCCAGAUUUGGUUCUCGAAAAAUUAAUUAUUAUUUUUUUAUUGUUUUCUAUCAUGAGGUCUUAGAGGAGAGUCAGCUGUUUACAGAGUGCUGGCAAAUUUAGGUUCAUAGUAAGAAAUUAACUUUCAGUGGAUCGUUUGCAGUAAUGAAUAAUACACUUAUUGCAUUUAAUCCACCUAUUCUAUUCUAUGUCAGCAAGUACUUUUGAGCUUCUUGAUUUAUUACAUUAUACUAUUCGGGCAACUUAUUAAAUGAAUGUGUUUUAUGAUUUUAUUUUGUUUUUUAAGCUAUUAAUCAGUCUUCCCGUGGUGGCUUCAACACUCACAGUUGUUUCCUCAGCUCUUCGGGUCUUGCUGUGCUCUGGGAAACGCAAUGGUCUCCCAGCCAUUUGACAGAUUUAUUUUUGGAGCAUUUGCCGUUGUUGGAAAGAGUAGUAGAUCCAUCUGUCAUGACAACAAGGAUUUCAUUAUAACUCACAGCUUUGCGGUGAACAUUUGUAGGAUUCUCAAUCGAACCUCUGACCGCAACAUUACCAUCAGAUUCAUCCCAAAUAAUAAAACACAGAUUUGAACAUUGUUGCAGCAUGUGGAGGGAUCAGAAUUUUAGAUCCAAGUCCAAAGGAGAUAAAUGUGUAUAAACUCGAUCUUUUCAUCGAGAUCACAGUCUAGAAGGAACAGACUGUUGUUUCUCACCUCUGUUUCCAUGCUGAGACGCAUUCUUUUCUUCCGGUAAUAAAACAUAGGCUAUCUAUUCCUCUAACAGUUAAUUCAAUGUGAGUCUGAAGAGAUGACGGCAAAGCCUGGUUUGCUGCAGUCACUGUGUGCACAAAAUGUUUUCUGUUUUCACAUGCAAGAAAUGAACUUGAAUAUAUCGCUGCACAGCAUACCCAGUGAACAGGGAGCAUUCUGAGAACUUUCUGUCGAGGUUCUCUCAAAGUUCGGAACAAAUACAACGUCUAUUCAAAGUGAUCUGGUGAUUAAUAGAGUGCCGAAGUUACGACGUCACUCUGUAAGCCAAAACGUGGAAGUGAGUUAGUGCU
Non-coding RNA from Pimephales promelas (fathead minnow), 1480 nucleotides. NCBI's taxonomy places the organism in Eukaryota, Metazoa, Chordata, Actinopteri, Cypriniformes, Leuciscidae. The record is from RefSeq and is a predicted model, not a curated record.